GUGAGUUCAGGGCAUUUACUGAAUUAACUUGACAAUCGGGGAUUGAUAUGCGACUUUCCUGUCCUCACACCCCAGCCCAAAAUGGUAGAGUUGAAAGAAAACAUCGACACAUUACAGAAAUUGGCCUAACUCUUCAUUGACACAGUUCGCACUAAAGGACAUGGGUGAACUGCACCAGUUUUUAGGAAUUGAAGUAAGGAGCUAUGAAUCAGGAAUGUGUCUCACUCAGGUUAAGUACAAAAAAGACUUGUUGAAAAAGUUUAAUUUUGAACACCUUAAACAUUGUGCGAUGCCCAUGACAGUUGGCAAGUGCAUCUCCAAGAAUGAAGGUGAAAAAUGGCAGACCCUUUCUUAUACAAAAGUGUAAUAGGUGGACUUCAGUACCUAGGACAUACGCGACCUGAUAUAAGUUUUGCAGUAAAUAAAUUGAGUCAAUUUCUACAAACUCCUUCAGAAACUCAUUGGAAGGCAGUAAAGAGGAUUUUUAGGUAUCUAAAGGUUACAAUUGAACAAGGUCUAUGGAUCCAAAAGAGUGACAUAAUGGACAUCGCAUGGUUUGCUGAUGCGGAUUGGGCGUCAUGUCCUGAUGACAGAAGUUCAACAUCCGACUACUGUGUCUAUUUAGGAGAUACCUUAGUGGCCUGGUCUUCAAAGAAACAAUUGGUGGUGGCGAGGUCAAGUGCUGAAAUCAGAGUACAGAGCACUAGCACAAUCCUCUGCUGAAAUAACUUGGGUAGAGUCGUUGCUUAAAGAAAUCAAGCUACAACCUGCUUCACCUCAUACCUAUGGUGUGAUAAUCUUAGUGCCAGUGCAUUAGCCUCUAAUCCAGUUUAUCAUGCUCGAACUAAACACAUCGACUUAGAUAUACAUUUGUUAGAGAUAAAGUUCUUGAAGGGAAGUUGAAGAUAAAAUACAUUCCAUCAUCAGACCAAACGGCAGAUCUGUUAACCAAACCACUUGCUCAUUCCAAAUUCUUGUUUCUCAAAGACAAGCUUGGAGUUAAUGAAUAAACUCCAGCUUGAUGGAAGAUGUUAAAAUGUUUACUAAUAGCUGGUGACAUACUCCAGUAUGGGCGUGUGUACUGAAAUGGUCCUUUUACUUGUUUACCACUCUAGCACUUAUGGAACCAUAAUUUACUGGUGUAACUGUACUGAUUCUUCACAUGUACAUCACAUUUCUUUUACUUGUUCACCACUCCAGUACUUGUAUAAAUCUACAGCCAUUGUGCUUUGAAAAUACAAGAAAUCGAUCUCGUCUUCUUCACUUGCCUUCUUUGUUCUCUGUUUUUUAUUUAAUUUCAACUCUAAAUGACGGUUUGUGAUUUGACGCAUUAAUGUGAUAGUUUUUUCUUACCUCAUAUAUCAAAUCACUAAAUGUAUGUGUAUACUAUGUAAGGCGACCACGAUAAUGAGUGACUGCAAAUAACAUUACUCUUACCUAUAUACGUGUUCUCUUCACCGCUCAAAUUACUCCAAUUAUCUCGAGUUAAGGUAUUAUCGAUGCUUAUGUGAACUUUUCUUUCUUUUUUUCCCCCCUGCAAAAUUCAAUAAUGGGCCAUGUUUAUUUUUCUGUUUUAAGUUUUUG
RNAcentral lists this long non-coding RNA (1584 nucleotides) under Olea europaea subsp. europaea. The record is from RNAcentral. Lineage: Eukaryota; Viridiplantae; Streptophyta; Magnoliopsida; Lamiales; Oleaceae.